CGGGUUGAAGCGAUUCUCCUGCCUCAGCUGCUGAGUAGCUGGGAUUACAGGUGUGGCAUCUGGCAUGAAACCAAGGACAAGACACUCAGUUGAGCUUUGUGAAAGAGUGACAGAUGAUGGAUAGAGUCAUGGGCCUGCCUCUUAUGGAGCUAAGAAAUGAAAUCUGGAUACGGAGGCCUGAGUACCUCAGAGAAGCCAAGGUUCCUGCAGGAACCUCGUGCCUGCUGUCCACGUUGGGCUUCAUUUUAUCAAAAUACAGCAAAGAGCUCAUCAUUUCUCAGCUCCUGUCGGAAGCAACAGUGGCUGUUCCUGGACACAGAGCUGCAGACAAGGAGUGGUGAGGAUUCAGGCAAGAGAAGAUGGGCAGCUUCCCCUUCAUGCUUCCCUCUCAGGAAGAAGCCAGGGUGCCUGGGAUCAAAGAGGCUAGGAGGCUGGUGAGGCCUCCUGUCCCUGAAAGCGCCAACACUUCCUGGAGAUGAAACACAACUUCAAUACAGAGAUAGCAAGUUCACACUCUGGCAGUCAUGCAAGGAUGAGUGAUGCGGGCCUUUUCUAAGUGAGUAUGAACGGGUGGGACCUACGGUAAAUUCAAUGCAGUAUAAUCCGUCUACGGGGCAGUGGGCACCCAGCAACAGCCAACUGUUACCAAAUCAAAGUGCAGGCCCAGGAUGACUCAUCUUCCAGCAUUUCAUGAGCAACCAGAAGUCUACAUUUCUUUGAGAAAAAAAAUUUUUUUGAGACGAGGUCUUACUCUGUUGCCCAGGCUGGAGUGUGUAGCUUCUACCUCCCGGGGCUUAGGUGAUUCUCCCACCUCAAGUCUCCCAAGUAGCUGAGACUGCAGGCAUGUGCCACCACGCUGGCUAAUUUUUUUUUUUUUUUUGAGUCGGAGUCUCGCUCUGUCCCCCAGGCUGGAGCGCAGUGGCGCGAUCUCGGCUAACUGCGAGCUCCGCCUCCCGGGGUUCGUGCCAUUCUCCUGCUUCAGCCUCCCAAGUAGCUGGGACUACAGGCGCCCGCCACCACGCCCGGCUAAUUUUUUUGUAUUUUGUAGUAGAAACGGGGUUUCACCAUGUUAGCCAGGAUGGUCUCGAUCUCCUGACCUCGUGAUCCUCCCGCCUCGGCCUCCCAAAGUGCUGGGAUUACAGGCGUGAGCCACCGCUCCCGCCCCAUGCCAGCUAAUUUUUUUGUAGAGACAGGGCUUCGCCAUGUUGUCCAGGCUGGUCUCCAACCCCUAGGCUCCCCGCCUUGCCCUCCCAAAAUGUGGAGAUUACAGGUGUGAGCCACAAUGCCUGGCCAUUUUGAGGAAUUUUUAAACACUGGCUUUAAUUUUUCAAAGUAUCUGGAGCAACUUCUGCUUCUGAGAGAUAGAGUAGAUAUUCUUUUCCCCAGUCCUCCUGCUAAGUACAGCUAAAAACCCCAAAAACACUCUAUAUUAUACAAAAUGAACAUAAGAUGACUCUGAACAAGAAGAAAGCAGAUUGGUUAGGGACCUCCAGAUCCAAGGAAUGACUCAGCAGUGACCUCCCUAAGUUUUCUUUUUGCCUCAUAUAUGUCAGAAUGGGUACUGGAGAAGCCAGCAACCCAAAACUGCCAACGAUUGCAGACAAAAGCCCCAAGAAAAGCUUGUCUUUUUUUUUUUUUUUUUUUUGAAAGAGUGUCUUGCUCUAUCGCCCAGGCUGGAGUGCAGUGGUGCAAUCAUGGCUCACUGCAGCCUUGAUCUCCCAGGCUUAAGCUGCUUAGACUACAGAUCUGCGCCACCAUGCCUGACUAAUCAAUACAGUUGUUUUUUUUUUUUGAAACGGAGUUUCACUCUUGUUGCCCAGGCUGGAGUGCACUGGCGCGAUCUCAGCUCACUGCUGCAACCUCUGCCUCCUGGGCUCAAGCAGUUCUCCUGCCUCACCUCCUGAGUAGCUGGGAUUACAGGCAUGCACCAUCACGCCCUGCUAUUUUUUGUAUUUUUAGAAGUAGAGAUGGGGUUUCACCAUGUUGGUCAGGCUGGUCUCAAACUCCUGAUCUCAGGUGAUCCGCCCGACUCGGCCUCCCAAAGUGCUGGGAUUACAGGCAUGAGCCAUCGUGCCCGGCCUUUUUGUUUUUUUUGUUUGUUUGUUUGUUAUGUUUUUUUGUAGAGAUGGGGGUCUCACUGUUUCCCAGGCUGAUCUCAAAUUCCUGGGCUCAAGCAAUCCUCUGGCCUCAGCCUCCCAAAGUGCUGGAAUUAUAAGCGUGAACCAUGGUGUCCUGCAAGUCUGCUUUCUGAGUCAAAGGACAAGAAAAUAAACAGCCUAGAAAGACA
This 2287-nucleotide long non-coding RNA is filed under the name Homo sapiens (human). RNAcentral's name for it is "HSALNT0291566". The record is from RNAcentral. Lineage: Eukaryota; Metazoa; Chordata; Mammalia; Primates; Hominidae.